Molecule: ribosomal RNA, 301 nt
Filed under: uncultured bacterium
Lineage: Bacteria
Description: partial 16S ribosomal RNA
Rfam family: Bacterial small subunit ribosomal RNA
Source: RNAcentral
CAGUCGCCACGGGAAUACGUAGGGUGCGAGCGUUAAUCGGAGUUACUGGGCGUAAAGCGUGCGCAGGCGGUUAUAUAAGACAGAUGUGAAAUCCCCGGGCUCAACCUGGGACCUGCAUUUGUGACUGUAUAGCUAGAGUACGGUAGAGGGGGAUGGAAUUCCGCGUGUAGCAGUGAAAUGCGUAGAUAUGCGGAGGAACACCGAUGGCGAAGGCAAUCCCCUGGACCUGUACUGACGCUCAUGCACGAAAGCGUGGGGAGCAAACAGGAUUAGAUACCCCGGUAGUCCCUGUCUCUUAUAC